This 433-nucleotide ribosomal RNA is filed under the name uncultured bacterium. RNAcentral's name for it is "partial 16S ribosomal RNA". It matches the Rfam family "Bacterial small subunit ribosomal RNA", at positions 29 to 507 of the family's 1533-position model. The record is from RNAcentral.
AACGAACGCUGGCGGCAUGCCUAACACAUGCAAGUCGAACGAGACCUUCGGGACUAUUGGCGCACGGGUGCGUAACGCGUGGGAAUCUGCCCUUGGGUUCGGAAUAACAGUUGGAAACGACUGCUAAUACCGGAUGAUGACGUAAGUCCAAAGAUUUAUCGCCCAAGGAUGAGCCCGCGUAGGAUUAGCUAGUUGGUGAGGUAAAGGCUCACCAAGGCGACGAUCCUUAGCUGGUCUGAGAGGAGGAUCAGCCACACUGAGACUGGGACACGGCCCAGAAUCCUACGGGAGGCAGCAGUGGGGGAUAUUGGAAAAUGGGCGAAAGGCUGAUCCAGCUAUGCCGCGUGAGUGAUGAAGGCAGUAGGGUUGUAAAGCUCUUUUAACCGGGAUGAUAAUGACAGUACCGGGAGAAUAAGCUCCGGCUAACUCCGUG